RNAcentral lists this transfer RNA (67 nucleotides) under Cyrtodactylus pulchellus (Malayan forest gecko). Its description in RNAcentral is "tRNA-Tyr". The record is from RNAcentral. Lineage: Eukaryota; Metazoa; Chordata; Lepidosauria; Squamata; Gekkonidae.
AGGUAGGGUGGCCGAGUAGGUGGCAGGUUGUAGCCCUGUUUACAGGGGCAUUCGCCCCCCCAACCAG